UACGUAGGGUGCGAGCGUUAAUCGGAAUUACUGGGCGUAAAGCGUGCGUAGGCGGUUCGUUAAGUUCGUUGUGAAAGCCCCGGGCUCAACCUGGGAAUGGCAAUGGAAACUGGCGGGCUGGAGUACGGUAGGGGCAGAGGGAAUUUCCGGUGGAGCGGUGAAAUGCGUAGAGAUCGGAAAGAACACCAACGGCGAAAGCACUCUGCUGGGCCGACACUGACACUGAGAGACGAAAGCUAGGGGAGCGAAUGGG
Molecule: ribosomal RNA, 253 nt
Filed under: uncultured bacterium
Lineage: Bacteria
Description: partial 16S ribosomal RNA
Rfam family: Bacterial small subunit ribosomal RNA
Source: RNAcentral